UGGGGAAUUUUACGCAAUGGGGGAAACCCUGACGUAGCGACACCGCGUGAGCGAAGAAGCCCUUUGGCGUGUAAAGCUCUGUCAGCAGGAACGAAUAAAAUGACGGUACCUGCAGAGGAAGCAUCGGCUAACUACGUGCCAGCAGCCGCGGUAAGACGUAGGAUGCAAGCGUUGUCCGGAUUUAUUGGGCGUAAAGAGUUCGUAGGCGGUUUGUUAAGUUUGAUGCUAAAGAUCGGGGCCUAACCCUGGGAGUGCAUUGAAUACUGGCAGACUGGAGUGCAGUAGAGGCGAGUGGAAUUCCCAGUGUAGCGGUGAAAUGCGUAGAUAUUGGGAAGAACACCGGUGGCGCAGGCGACUCGCUGGGCUGUAACUGACGCUGAGGAACGAAAGCUAGGGGAGCAAAUGGGAUUAGAUACCCCAGUAGUCCUAGCUGUAAACGAUGGAUACUAGGCGUUGCAGGUAUCGACCCCUGCAGUGCCGCAGUUAACGCGAUAAGUAUCCCGCCUGAGUAGUACGGCCGCAAGGUUG
This 528-nucleotide ribosomal RNA is filed under the name uncultured prokaryote. RNAcentral's name for it is "bacterial SSU rRNA". It matches the Rfam family "Bacterial small subunit ribosomal RNA", at positions 355 to 896 of the family's 1533-position model. The record is from RNAcentral.